This is a long non-coding RNA of Bactrocera neohumeralis, 1141 nucleotides long. RefSeq lists it as uncharacterized. The transcript is spliced from 2 exons. The record is from RefSeq and is a predicted model, not a curated record. Lineage: Eukaryota; Metazoa; Arthropoda; Insecta; Diptera; Tephritidae.
CCGAAUGCACUUUAAGUACUUAAAAAAAAGAUGUGCAUACUAAACACUAAAGAUUAUUUUGAAGUGAUAUUUGACACAGAUGUCACUGCCAAUCAUACCAACUUAGAAAACAAAUAUUUCGAUGAAUGGGUUUUCGCGCGAAAUUUAUAUUAAAAAGUCUUACUAUUUCUUCCCCUCAUGAAUAUAAAGUAUAAUAAACUCAUUUUUGCUUGUCUAUUCUUUGAAAAACAAACUAUUUCCUUCUUUCCAGCUUUACCUUGUAAACCUGAAAUGACGUCUAAUGUACUCUGCGGCACAAAGCCAGCUGACCAACUAGUUUCACCUUCAGUGGAUUCUUCAACCGCCUUCUCUUCCAAUCAUAAUUCACAUCAUAAUGCAGUUUGGUGGACGUACAUAUCUCCUUCAAGAAUUAUACAUGUUAUUUAGGUAACCCGAACGUUUGCGAACAUUGUCUCAUUACUUGAUAUAAAGUAGAAACGAAAGCAUUCCAUAUUACAGUGCCAGUAUCCCGAAUUAUGACCACUUCAGCUUACGUAACUCUGGAAUGUACAUAUAUAAGAAGACAAACUUGAGUUGCCUUUGAAGAUAUAAAGUAUAAGUAGUGGUAAUGAAACAAGCCAAAACAUCUGGUGCAUUUAUAAUACUACGUGGUGAAACAUUUCGUACCAAUCCGGUGACCAACAUACGAUUUGAAGAUACAACUGUCAAAAUGCGGUGAAUUCGUCCAAAUUCCGUCAGAUAUAAUAUAAACAUAAAGGAGUUGAAAACCUGUAUCACUCUUUGAAACGGAAAAUUUUAAAAGGAGCGCUAAUAGAUACCAUGCAGGUAUUAUUUAAAAAACAGAAUUACGGGAAGUAUUUUUUAAACUAACAUGACAACGAAGAUUCACAUAAGAAGAGUUGAUACAGCCAAAGCUUUCAACGUUGGAUAGAAUAGAGGAAUAAGAUGGAAAUAAUAAUAAAAACUAUUUAGUUAAGAGUGCUUGCAUGUUUAUAAUGCAAUAGCUUCCCCAAUUUAUUUUAAUUGGAGAUAUGUACGGGUAUGCUUGUAUAGAAAUAUGUACUGUUAAUGUAUAAAAUAUGUAUUUAUUUUUGUACUGAAUCGUUACAAGAAGAAAUAAUUACAUAAUAAAAUUUUUGAG